GUGCCAGCAGCCGCGGUAAUACGUAGGGUGCAAGCGUUAAUCGGAAUUACUGGGCGUAAAGCGUGCGCAGGCGGUUGUGCAAGACAGGUGUGAAAUCCCCGGGCUUAACCUGGGAAUUGCAUUUGUGACUGCACGGCUAGAGUGUGUCAGAGGGGGGUAGAAUUCCACGUGUAGCAGUGAAAUGCGUAGAUAUGUGGAGGAAUACCGAUGGCGAAGGCAGCCCCCUGGGAUAACACUGACGCUCAUGCACGAAAGCGUGGGGAGCAAACAGGAUUAGAUACCCCUGUAGUCC
Molecule: ribosomal RNA, 292 nt
Filed under: uncultured bacterium
Lineage: Bacteria
Description: partial 16S ribosomal RNA
Rfam family: Bacterial small subunit ribosomal RNA
Source: RNAcentral